GAAGCCUCCACAUCUCUUCGGACGAAAUCUUGCUCCCUUGUCCUCCAAGCUUAGCCAAAAUGUUGACCCCUUGGUCAACACACCCAUUUUGGACAUCCAAGCAUAGUCAACUUUUGGCCUUGACCCUUUGUUGACUUGUUUGGUCAAAAUCCUAUUCUAAUUGGCCCAAAAUACAAGGUCCAAUUGAAAUCCUAUACUACUAGGCCCACAAUACAAAGCCCAAAUAAAAUCUAGACUACUUGGCN
This 245-nucleotide long non-coding RNA is filed under the name Vigna radiata. Its description in RNAcentral is "long non-coding RNA (VRAD_LNC014115)". The record is from RNAcentral. Lineage: Eukaryota; Viridiplantae; Streptophyta; Magnoliopsida; Fabales; Fabaceae.